CACAAUUGAAUGCCAGAUUAACUUACCAUCUGUAAAAAUGAAAACU
This 46-nucleotide unclassified non-coding RNA is filed under the name human respiratory syncytial virus. Lineage: Riboviria; Orthornavirae; Negarnaviricota; Monjiviricetes; Mononegavirales; Pneumoviridae. The record is from RNAcentral.